AUAAGGGCGCACGGUGGAUGCCUUGGCACUAGGAGCCGAUGAAGGACGGGACUAACACCGAUAUGCUUUGGGGAGCUGUACGUAAGCUAUGAUCCAGAGAUUUCCGAAUGGGGGAACCCAACAUCUUUAAUAGGAUGUUACGAUUGUGUGAAUACAUAGCACAUUCGAGGUAGACGCAGAGAACUGAAACAUCUAAGUACCUGCAGGAAGAGAAAGAAAAUUCGAUUCCCUGAGUAGCGGCGAGCGAAACGGGAAAAGCCCAAACCAGCAAGCUUGCUUGUUGGGGUUGUAGGACUCCAAUAUGGUAGUUCUUUCAGAUAGUCGAAUGACUUGGAAAAGUCAGUCAAAGAGGGUAAAAACCCCGUAGACGAAAUGUGGAAGACACCUAGGAGGAUCCUGAGUACGGCGGAACACGAGAAAUUCCGUCGGAAUCCGGGAGGACCAUCUCCCAAGGCUAAAUACUCCCUAGUGACCGAUAGUGAACCAGUACCGUGAGGGAAAGGUGAAAAGCACCCCGGAAGGGGAGUGAAAUAGAACCUGAAACCGUGUGCCUACAACAAGUCAAAGCCCGUUAAUGGGUGAUGGCGUGCCUUUUGUAGAAUGAACCGGCGAGUUACGAUUGCAUGCGAGGUUAAGUUGAAGAGACGGAGCCGCAGCGAAAGCGAGUCUGAAUAGGGCGUUUGAGUAUGUAGUCGUAGACCCGAAACCAUGUGAUCUACCCAUGUCCAGGUUGAAGGUGCGGUAAAACGCACUGGAGGACCGAACCCACGUACGUUGAAAAGUGCGGGGAUGAGGUGUGGGUAGCGGAGAAAUUCCAAACGAACUUGGAGAUAGCUGGUUCUCUCCGAAAUAGCUUUAGGGCUAGCCUCGGAAUUGAGAAUGAUGGAGGUAGAGCACUGUUUGGACUAGGGGCCCAUCUCGGGUUACCGAAUUCAGAUAAACUCCGAAUGCCAUUCAUUCAUAUCCGGGAGUCAGACUGUGAGUGAUAAGAUCCAUAGUCGAAAGGGAAACAGCCCAGACCACCAGCUAAGGUCCCAAAAUAUAUGUUAAGUGGAAAAGGAUGUGGGGUUGCACAGACAACUAGGAUGUUGGCUUAGAAGCAGCCACCAUUUAAAGAGUGCGUAAUAGCUCACUAGUCGAGUGACCCUGCGCCGAAAAUGUACCGGGGCUAAACAUAUUACCGAAGCUGUGGAGUACACCUUUAGGUGUAUUGGUAGGAGAGCGUUCUAAGGGCGUUGAAGGCAGAUCGUGAGGACUG
Molecule: ribosomal RNA, 1258 nt
Filed under: Enterococcus faecium
Lineage: Bacteria; Bacillati; Bacillota; Bacilli; Lactobacillales; Enterococcaceae
Description: partial 23S ribosomal RNA
Rfam family: Bacterial large subunit ribosomal RNA
Source: RNAcentral